RNAcentral lists this ribosomal RNA (428 nucleotides) under uncultured prokaryote. Its description in RNAcentral is "bacterial SSU rRNA". It matches the Rfam family "Bacterial small subunit ribosomal RNA", at positions 355 to 774 of the family's 1533-position model. The record is from RNAcentral.
UGAGGAAUUUUGCGCAAUGGGAGCAAUCCUGACGCAGCAACGCCGCGUGGGUGAUGAAGGCCUUCGGGUCGUAAAGCCCUGUCAGGUGGGAAGAAUGUCCCGGGACUGAACAGGUUUUGGGAGUGACGGUACCACCAGAGGAAGCACCGGCUAACUCCGUGCCAGCAGCCGCGGUGAUACGGAGGGUGCAAGCGUUAUUCGGAAUUACUGGGCGUAAAGCGCGUGUAGGCGGUCAUGCAAGUCUGAGGUGAAAGCCCCGGGCUUAACCCGGGAAGUGCAUUGGAAACUGUGGGACUUGAGUACUGGAGAGGAUGGUGGAAUUCCCGGUGUAGAGGUGAAAUUCGUAGAGAUCGGGAGGAAUAUCAGUGGCGAAGGCGCCCAUCUGGACGGUAACUGACGCUGAGACGCGAAAGCGUGGGGAGCAAACA